This 465-nucleotide ribosomal RNA is filed under the name Vreelandella stevensii. Its description in RNAcentral is "partial 16S ribosomal RNA". It matches the Rfam family "Bacterial small subunit ribosomal RNA", at positions 338 to 795 of the family's 1533-position model. Lineage: Bacteria; Pseudomonadati; Pseudomonadota; Gammaproteobacteria; Oceanospirillales; Halomonadaceae. The record is from RNAcentral.
CCUACGGGCGGCAGCAGUGGGGAAUAUUGGACAAUGGGCGAAAGCCUGAUCCAGCCAUGCCGCGUGUGCGAAGAAGGCCUUCGGGUUGUAAAGCACUUUCAGUGGGGAAGAAAGCCUUGGGGCUAAUACCCUCGAGGAAGGACAUCACCCACAGAAGAAGCACCGGCUAACUCCGUGCCAGCAGCCGCGGUAAUACGGAGGGUGCGAGCGUUAAUCGGAAUUACUGGGCGUAAAGCGCGCGUAGGCGGUCUGAUAAGCCGGUUGUGAAAGCCCCGGGCUCAACCUGGGAACGGCAUCCGGAACUGUCAGGCUAGAGUGCAGGAGAGGAAGGUAGAAUUCCCGGUGUAGCGGUGAAAUGCGUAGAGAUCGGGAGGAAUACCAGUGGCGAAGGCGGCCUUCUGGACUGACACUGACGCUGAGGUGCGAAAGCGUGGGUAGCAAACAGGAUUAGAUACCCGAGUAGUC